UACGUAGGUGGCUAGCGUUGUCCGGAUUUACUGGGCGUAAAGAGCGCGCAGGCGGUCGUUCAAGUCGAGUGUGAAAGCCCCCGGCUCAACUGGGGAGGGUCACUCGAUACUGAUCGACUCGAAGGCAGGAGAGGGAAGCGGAAUUCCCGGUGUAGUGGUGAAAUGCGUAGAUAUCGGGAGGAACACCAGUGGCGAAGGCGGCUUUCUGGCCUGCUCUUGACGCUGAGGCGCGAAAGCUAGGGUAGCAAAC
This 250-nucleotide ribosomal RNA is filed under the name uncultured bacterium. RNAcentral's name for it is "partial 16S ribosomal RNA". It matches the Rfam family "Bacterial small subunit ribosomal RNA", at positions 524 to 773 of the family's 1533-position model. The record is from RNAcentral.